GUUCAUGUAGCUUAUUACAAAGCAAGGCACUGAAAAUGCCUAGAAGAAUCAUU
This 53-nucleotide transfer RNA is filed under the name Dipodomys simulans (Dulzura kangaroo rat). Its description in RNAcentral is "partial tRNA-Phe". Lineage: Eukaryota; Metazoa; Chordata; Mammalia; Rodentia; Heteromyidae. The record is from RNAcentral.